GUGGCGGGCCGCCACACCAAAAUAAAAGCCACCACGCCUUGCAAAUGCGAUUCUUUUUUUUUUUUUUUUUUUUAAGAUUUAAAGAUCCAUUCUAAUUUUUAAUUAGUAUAAUUUAACAUGACUUCUAAAUGAAUAUAUGAAGCUCAUUUGUACACACGAUUUACCAUAAGUCGUCUGAAAUAGCAUGUAAAAUACAAAUUGUUCCUUUACAUGCUUUAUUUUGAAAAGCGUAUCAUUUCUAUUGAAAGCUUGCGGCUGGUACGUCGGCUCGGCGCAGAAAUGGAAAUCGGGAGACGAAACACAGAAAGGCAUUUGAAGUUAAUGAAUGUACUUCUGGUUUAAAACUGUGAAAAUGACCUUAAUAUACUGACAUUGACGUAACGUUUAAGUUCAUUAUGGCAUGUUUUUGAUACGAAUCGGUCGCGUCCUACUCCUAGCAUAGCAUUUGUUCAUAUUUGUUCGGCGCUGACGUCACUCGUUGUUAUUGAUGUACAGUAUUUUGGAAAGAGAAAAGUUCCUGAGGACGAGGGUCCGCUAACAAAGUGACGAUUAUUGUUUGAUGAUUUAGACCGUCAUGUUCAGAAAUAUUUAAUGAGCGUCCGAGGCUAAUUAAAUAUUUCGGAACGUACCGGAGGGCUCAUGCUCUCAGGUGCUCUUCAUUUGCGAAUGUAUUGGCUCUCAUGUUCGGAGGACUAGAAAUAACCAAAUGGUUAUGGCAAGCGUAGUAUUCUAAUGUUGAGAUAAGGUUUUCAAGAACUGAAUGAGACCAGAUAGCACAUAGAGAGGCAGAUCAGGAUGGCGCAGAGUCCAGGGUAGGAGAAGUAAGCAAAAAAACCAAACAGGAAAUCUAGCUGGACCCAACAUGGACAAAAAUGGCAAAGUUCAAGCUGUGGCUGUACCACAAAAAUCAAGAAUAUGGACCAGGUCAGCAUGAUGGCACCACAGACUGAUGAAUGGGGAGUGCUGCUGACAGCAACCGUCCGCCAUUGCGUUGACAGUUACCAUCUCAACAGUGAACUGUGAGAUUUUUCUUCAAUGACCUGAGUAAAGACAGACUUGAGGAACAGGUGGACCAUCUUGUAGCAUGCCUCACAUUGACUAAUAAAUGGAUCACCUAUUGCCGACCCCCCCCCCCCCUUUUUUUUUUUUUUAAGUCCAGGAAAAUCAAGUGUUCCCAGGCAGGAUGCAAACUUUGCAAAUAGAUCUUUGUUAUGGUUCUUGAAAAAAAUAAAUAAUAAAAUUAAAAAACAAUUUUAAAAAUUCUUAUUUGUCAUGAUACGAAACAAAUUCGCCGCGGCACAACAUGAUGGGGUUGUCCGACUCCGACGCAGUCCACCACCACCACAGCUUCAAAAA
Molecule: long non-coding RNA, 1356 nt
Organism: Corythoichthys intestinalis (scribbled pipefish)
Lineage: Eukaryota; Metazoa; Chordata; Actinopteri; Syngnathiformes; Syngnathidae
Exons: 3
Source: RefSeq, a predicted model, not a curated record